This is a long non-coding RNA of Spodoptera frugiperda (fall armyworm), 1346 nucleotides long. RefSeq lists it as uncharacterized. The transcript is spliced from 7 exons. The record is from RefSeq and is a predicted model, not a curated record. Lineage: Eukaryota; Metazoa; Arthropoda; Insecta; Lepidoptera; Noctuidae.
GUGCGAUACAAGUGCCUUGAGGGCACCCGCUGGAGCAAACGGGCUUACAGUUGUAUUUGUCAACUUUUGUGUAUCCUUUUGUGCAUACACAAGUUUCUGGAGCUGUGCACGAGCCGUUGAUGCAGGGUUUUGAACAAAUCGGUUGACAGGUUUUCUUGGUGCUGCCCUUCGGUUGAACAAGUUGAUAGCCAGCAUUACAUUUACAAGAUUCGGGUGCGAUACAAGUGCCAUGAGGACACCCGCUGGAGCAAACGGGCUUACAGUUGUAUUUGUCAACUUUUGUGUAUCCUUUUGUGCAUACACAAGUUUCUGGAGCUGUGCACAAACCGUUGACGCAGGGUUUUGAACAAAUCGGUUGACAGGUUUUCUUCGUGCUGCCCUUCGGUUGAACAAGUUGAUAGCCAGCAUUACAUUUACAAGAUUCGGGUGCGAUACAAGUGCCUUGAGGGCACCCGCUGGAGCAAACGGGCUUACAGUUGUAUUUGUCAACUUUUGUGUAUCCUUUUGUGCAUACACAAGUUUCGGGAGCUGUGCACGAGCCGUUGAUGCAGGGUUUUGAACAAAUCGGUUGACAGGUUUUCUUCGUGCUGCCCUUCGGUUGAACAAGUUGAUAGCCAGCAUUACAUUUACAAGAUUCGGGUGCGAUACAAGUGCCUUGAGGGCACCCGCUGGAGCAAACGGGCUUACAGUUGUAUUUGUCAACUUUUGUGUAUCCUUUUGUGCAUACACAAGUUUCUGGAGCUGUGCACGAACCGUUGACGCAGGGUUUUGAACAAAUCGGUUGACAGGUUUUCUUGGUGCUGCCCUUCGGUUGAACAAGUUGAUAGCCAGCAUUACAUUUACAAGAUUCGGGUGCGAUACAAGUGCCAUGAGGACACCCGCUGGAGCAAACGGGCUUACAGUUGUAUUUGUCAACUUUUGUGUAUCCUUUUGUGCAUACACAAGUUUCUGGAGCUGUGCACGAACCGUUGACGCAGGGUUUUGAACAAAUCGGUUGACAGGUUUUCUUCGUGCUGCCCUUCGGUUGAACAAGUUGAUAGCCAGCAUUACAUUUACAAGAUUCGGGUGCGAUACAAGUGCCUUGAGGGCACCCGCUGGAGCAAACGGGCUUACAGUUGUAUUUGUCAACUUUUGUGUAUCCUUUUGUGCAUACACAAGUUUCUGGAGCUGUGCACAAACCGUUGACGCAGGGUUUUGAACAAAUCGGUUGACAGGUUUUCUUCGUGCUGCCCUUCGGUUGAACAAGUUGAUAGCCAGCAUUACAUUUACAAGAUUCGGGUGCGAUACAAGUGCCAUGAGGACACCCGCUGGAGCAAACGGGCUUACAGUUGUAUUUGUCAACUUUU